Non-coding RNA from Delphinapterus leucas (beluga whale), 997 nucleotides. The record is from RefSeq and is a predicted model, not a curated record. NCBI's taxonomy places the organism in Eukaryota, Metazoa, Chordata, Mammalia, Artiodactyla, Monodontidae.
CAGCUCUUUAGAAUCUAACCAAGGUGGAGAUGUCCUUCUGAUCAUGCUGGCUACUGUGUGGACAGUAGGUGAUAGCAGAAAAGAAGUGGAAGCCAAGAAGCUGAUAUGGAGCCAAUGAGCAGUUCAGGUUUAAAAUUGAGGUGAUGAGAUGGAAUAUUACCUGUGUGCUUCAGAACAUCCAUGAGUGACAUGUGAUAGUUGCCUGGGAAACUAGAGAUGAAAUUUUAUAGGCCUUUGAAAUGCCUUACAUUUGAGAAUUAAGCUCAGCUGAAGUUUAAACAGCAUACUGACAGUGAGUAUUGAUCUCUCACAUUAUCUGUUAGGAUAUUUGAGGUGCAGAUAACAGAAAAACCCCAACUCCAAGGGGUUUAACCAACAAAGAAAUGUAUUAUCUAAUAUAACUGGAAGUACAGAGGUAGAAUGAGCUCCAAGUGUGUUGUAAUGAGAAGCCUAAUAUAAUCGAGGAUCCAGCUCCUUUUCGUCUUUCUCCUCUGUUUUACUCAGCUACCUCCUAGGGCUGGUUGUCCUUAUGGUUUCAAGAUGGCUGCCAGCGACAUCCUGAGCGACAUUAAUUCUUAUUAACUGCCAGCAGGAGAGGAGAGGGGAGCUUUCUCCCUUAAACCUAGAAAAUAGUCCUUUUCUUCAAUCUGAUUGGGAAAACUUAAUUCACAUGUCUACCUCUAGACUAAGGAAGGCCAUGAUCUAACUGGCACAAACAAAUCAAAAUCCUCCUUGAGGACUAGAUAUAUUGUGAAUCUCUGGAUUAAAAGGGCUUCUACUAGGAAGAAAAAAGGGGGGAAUUGGGAAUUAGGCAUUGUAUAUAUCAUACAAUGGAGAGGCAAGAGUUAACAACACAUUCUACACUGGAAAAAACUUUCAAGGAAUGGAAUCUGCCCCAAAUUUUGUUAUUCUGUCCCUUGUCAUCAACUCCGUGGACAUGUAUCUCCCUCACUAAGGAUGAAAAGAGAAGGGGAGGGAGUUCUGGUGAGUCCAAAGU